RNAcentral lists this non-coding RNA (105 nucleotides) under Skeletonema menzelii. Lineage: Eukaryota; Bacillariophyta; Thalassiosirophyceae; Thalassiosirales; Thalassiosiraceae. The record is from RNAcentral.
AUUGUAAUGAUUACAAGGAUUUUACGCGGAGCAAGAAACCACUGACUGCGGAUGAGCAGGUUGUUUUCCGGGACUUUUAGAGAAAAUGUACAGAAAUUAACUGGA